GAGCGAGCGGGGUGAGCUGCGGAACCUGGUGGCAUCCACCGCAGCGCCGAGAGAAAGGGCGCGGGAGGGACCGUGCCCCCGUCCGUGAGGAGCGCGUGUGCCUGCCGGGACAACCGAGUCAAUCUGUCCCCGCGCAUUUCUUGGGAGGGUUUGGGCAGCGCCGGUGUCAGGGCAGGAACAGCGUGUGAUGAAAGGGAGUUUAGGUUAACCUCGCUUCAAGCCCGCGCAACCGCCGUGUUCCCGCGUUGGGAGCGCGGCCGGGGAGGCGGAGGGACUGUGCCGGGCUGGCGAGGGAGCGCUGCCGCCUCAGCGCUGCUGGCGGCGGGGGGAGCGCCGCGCCCAGGCCCCGGCUGCUGGGGGUGGGUCAGCAGAGCGGGAUGAGGCGUGAGGCGCGUCUGACAAAAGACGGCAGACUCACGUCGGGACCCUCUGCCGCUUGAAAAUGAGUCCGAAACGAGGCGGGCUGCGGUUUGUCCACCUCCUCCCCUCAGGGCGCUCCUCUGACGGCCGCCAGCCCGGGGCAGCGCUUGCACCGCCGCGCCCCUCACAGCCUCGCGCCCCUGAGCGCAGCCAGCGCUCGGCGCUCGCCGUUACAGAGCCAACACCGCCGUCUGGCGGCGCGGAGCGGCCGGGCCCGAACAGCCGAUCCCCCGGGCGUGAGGCGAGGCGGAGCACUCCGUGAAAAAGGCCAGAAAAUAAUUAACCUGAAAAAAAGAUAUAAAAUAUACAUAUUGAAGAAACAUUUAUCUUAAAAAAUACUGGAAAGAACAGACUGGCAAGAGAAUAGAGGACUCGACUCAACCCCAGCCUGCAUUGUACAAGAGACAGAACAUGAUAUUAAGUUAUUGCAACAAAAGAAAGGGAGGAAGAACUAAUAAAAGCUUUUAGCUGCAUAUCCACAUACUGUCACACAGCCUGACCUAAGACGACUAAUUUAAAGACAACGGAAAAGGCUCAGCUCUUGCCACCGUGCAUUCAACCGACAGUUUCCUUCAACCCAACCUGGGCGCAGUGAUGGGUCACUGCAAGCAGGAGGUACAACAUCGUUGCUCAUGGCUCUGCUGGUUGACUUUGACCACAAUACAGCACAACUGCCCCACAGCUGCAGAAAAGACUGAAUGGAGCCCGGGUUAGGUACUCAUGUGAAGGAGGAAGGAAAACACUGGAAAAGACAACACUUCUUGAUACGUUUGAUAUCUUCAUAACGAUCCUGAACUGAUGCCAAUUGGGGCUGCAGCUACAGAGGCUCUUCAUUAACAGGAGAAAGGUAGAUGGUAGGUUGGUAAUACCAUUCCAUACAGUUCUAUACAGUAUAGUGUGGGAAAGGACAAAACAAAGUGAUUUUACUGCUACGUUCAACCAUUCAGAAUAGCGUUUCUAAGAAAUAGCAAUUGUGUUAUACUUCUCUUUCACUUCACAUGUACAAGUUUUGAGUAGCAGACAGUAGCUACAGAAGCAACAGAAAUUUGGAGGGAUAUAUGCAAGUAUUCCCCCAUAAAUGAGAAAACUGCUAAAACAGAAGCAGCUGUCUUACGUGAAUCUGAAAAACUGCAUGUAUGGAGUAAAUUACCAUGUGCACGAAAAAAGAAAUAAAAACAUUGUAAUGGGCAACAGUAAAAUGGCUUGCUUAUUUUACUGUAUUUGUGUGCUGUUCUACUUCAAAUCGCUAAAGUUAAUAAAGAGAAAAGCUUUUGGGACUACUGGAUCUAAAAUACAAUAAAUAAAAGUACAACAUGACUCUUUAAAAUUUCCCUAAGUAUGUGGAAUAGAUAAGCAACAUCCUAUCUUCAGUGAGAUUCUUCUUGACUUUCUUUUUUAUCUUUUAAUUUCGGAUCAAUACCUAAACAUAUAAUGACAUUUGAAGAAUCAAGUUGUAAAAGGUAGGAUUAGAACCCAGAGCCAUUUUCUCAGAUGACAGACAAAUUAAUUGGGAAAGAAAGAACCUGUUUACCUUACAAGGAGCCUUUAACAUCAUGGCAGCAUAGAGGUGUUAUUACAUUGUACUUAUAUCCAUAUAGUGCUACACUUCCAGAGCAGGCAAAGCCUAUUACUUUAUUUUAUUUUUUUCCCAUCUGUGUUUCAUUGCUUAUAGUCUUUUCUACUCAUUUAUUUCUGUCUGCAGACUUUUAUAUUCAGUUCAGUGAAACGUGUCAAAUAUAAUAUUAUGACAGCUGCAAAAACCUAAAAUUUAUCAAACUCAGCAUAAUCAUUAAAUUUUUGUUUGACUAAAGAAGACAUAGUAGGGAAAAAAUGAGAGGCGAAGCCAGCCAAGGCUGUCACACUAAGUUAAAGUAAAUGAGGAGUCUAACAAUUUUCUCUUCACUCACCUAACUGGAGGUCUAUUAAUAUUUCCAUGUAACACUUAUCUGUGGUGGUUUGUUGGAGGACUAUAUUUGUAUAAUAUAUAAAGGAAUCAGAUUUCGCAGCAGACCUAUUUAGUAUUUCCUAUUAAUAACCACAUUAUCAGAUUCACAAGGGAU
Long non-coding RNA from Strigops habroptila (Kakapo), 2480 nucleotides. RefSeq lists it as uncharacterized. Lineage: Eukaryota; Metazoa; Chordata; Aves; Psittaciformes; Psittacidae. The record is from RefSeq and is a predicted model, not a curated record. The transcript is spliced from 4 exons.